GGGAGACAUGGGAGACAUAUUUUCUGGGGCAAAAGUGGAGAUGGGAAGGAUGAGGAGGGGAGGGCCAGCAGAAGUGAAAAGCAAGGAGAAAUGAGGCUGCAGGUGACGAACCUGACAAAAACAGAAGUAAGAGAGCAGCAGAAAAGAUGCAACAAGAAAGAGGAGAGAGAAAAAGAAAUGCAGAAGGGAUCACGGCCAGGAUGGAAGGAUAGCAGAUAAUGAGGCAAAGAGAUAUCAGAAGUCAUCCUGUACUGGGGCCCAAGGUGUCUGAGGGCACCCAAAGGGGUGGUGGUCCUGCAGGGGAGGUGUUCCCUGGGGCUUGUGCUACCAGUUUCUCCUCUGUCCCAUACACAGAGCCCCCAGGACUGAAGCAGCAAACACGUAUUCUCCCCCAGUGGCAAAUGAGGCCACGUGUUACCCAGCUGCAUUCCAAUAACAGCGGGGUUAAUUUUUGAUGCUAUUUAAUUUCAUCAGCUCUGUGGGGUGGGGAGAGGGGAAGAGCUGUGUAAGAUGGUGUGAUGGGUGGAAAAAUCUCCGGACAUCACUGUGUCUGGUGGCCAGAGAAGGGAAAAGGGCCUGGCAGCUCCCUCUCCUCAGCUUUGGAAGGCAGCAGUUUUUCAGGACAUCAAAUACUUAAUUAACUGAGCUGCAGGAUUGUGGGAUAAGAUUCAUGCAGUUGCUUCUCUGCUGGAAACCAAGAGUGUCAGCCUGGACCGCUCUGUUCUUGGAAGCUGGAAAAAGCUCUUCAGAGGUGGACCAUAUGGCCGUCUCCCAGCCCCAGUGCUUACCGGAGCUGUGCUGGGCUUACUGCACCGCGAGACGUGAAGGCUGGCAUGGCAGUGGCGGCUGCGAGGGAUGGGGAGAAGAAGCAGGCCCUGGGUGAUGAGAAUGAUGUUAGCAGCUGGAUGGGCAAGAGACCGAAGCACUAAUCUCUGCAAAUGGGCAGCUUGGAAACUGCUGAAUUUAGUAUUGUUAAUGAAGAUCCCCCUGAGCAAACUGUUCUCCAAGUGAUGUCUGAGACCGUCUCACAGAAGGAAUGGAGCCAACAUCUAUUUCUGCCUGGCAAAAGCAAACAAGUGAACACACAUACUGAGAUCUGUGACUCUCCGAGAGUAUUAGUAAAGGACAAAACUUGCAUAACUGCCAUAAAUUAUAGAAGCCUCCCCCAAUCUUGGUUAAUUCUCUUGUAAAAAGGGAGGGAAAAAUCUGGAGCAGCUCAGCAUGAAAACAGUUGUGGGAGGGAUAAUAAAGAGACAGCACUGAGGUAUCUCAUCGCUAGUGCUGAUAUCAUUAAGUAAGUGCGCUGGAAAUGUCGAGGUAAAUGCAUAGCAGUGAAUCACAGUCAGGCAUGAUUAACCUUGGGUAGUCUGAACUGGAAAUCAUUUACAAACACAAAGGUACUGAAGAACAUCGCAACAGACAGUACAUCGAAAGUCAUCCCAAGAUCGAGGGUCUUUUGGGGUGUUCUGUGUGUUUGUGCCAUUUUUGAAUUGUUGUCAUAUUUUCCAUGUGGAAGGAUGGGUGAUCUCAGACCCCUGGUGAGAUAAGAAGUUACCAUGAAGCUACUGGACCCUCUGAAACACAUGCACUGGUUGGAAUAUUUUUUUUUUCCAAAGACUAAAACCCCAUAUCUAAAAAUAUAUAAAAGACCAAAAGAGCACUCUUUCUCCAUUUCUCUCACCCUCCUUAAACCUGUCCUUCAGCCUACAACUGGUAAAGCUGGGGAGAAAGGGAUUUUAAUAAAAAUUAGAUGUUUUUAACAAAACUGUGAAAGUUUUCUAACCAUUGAAAACUGACCUUCCGUCACAAAACUGAAAGAAUGAAACAUUGCUGAAUAUUUCUGAGCAGUCCUAAAAGUUUAGAAAUGUGCAGUGAAGCUGACCCAUAGAGAGCUGUACAUAUUGAGUACCACAACAAAAAGCCCUUCAAAUCCAGAAUUCUUAUGGCUUUAAAAGCAUUCAAUUACAAGGAACAUGAAUCAACUGGAGAAGACUCAAGACAGCUUAACACCUUUGUAUUGUUUGCACCGUUUAUUGCCAUCCUUUAGCACCAGUUCAGGUGAUUUUUGUGCAUACAGACAUGGUGAAGACCAUAGGAACAGCGUGCAAAAGGACACAAAUCUGCUCAGAUUCUGAUCUUCCUCCUUGGUUUUGCAUAAUUCUCAUUCUCUGACAUUCAUCUCAGUUAUCUCCAGCAUUGUAAUGACUGCCCUUAUUUAUCUGCCUAAUUAGGAUGUUGCAUCAAUUAAUGUGAAUCAUCUAAAGUAUGCCUGUUUCUUAAUGUUUAAUGUUAUUAUCAGGGGAGAGCUACGUCCUACCAGAGUCCAUCCACAGAGUUAAUGCAUACAGGAAAAAAAAAACACACACGAUGUUAUUCAAAACAAUACAUUUCCCAUACCCAAACCCUCUGAACAGCACAGCACAAAUCCUGCACUCUAGAUUUCCCACCUCGCAGGGGUUACGAGCAGCACCUUCAUCCCUUUGGCUCCAGAGCACAGCCCCAGUACCUGAUUUUGAGGCCCUGGAUGGAGCCCAGUGGACAAGGCAGGAGGAAUCUUUUCAGGUGAGACUUGAUGUAAAUGCUUGGUUCAUGAGCGCCUCACUGCCUGAUUCAGGAGGGCAAUCAACCUGUCUUUUGGAGCUGCAUAAAUAACCUUUGGAUGGUGGUAGUAAAUCUACACCAAGGAUGAAUUAACUGCCACUGAGUCACAUAAGCUUGGCUUGAGUAUGUGGCUUGUAACAUGCCUGAGGAAAAUAAAAAAGACAUUUGCAAGAAAGAAACAUUAAUUCGCUCCUCCCCAUCUUUUCUGUUAUUUUUAUCUAGGCCAACACGCCUCGCUUUGUGGGUUUUUCUGCUGCUGUUUGUUUCAUUUCCAUGCGGAAACAAUGAUUCACAACAAAAUGAAUCCACAGGGCAUCCUUUCUGGCUCCCCGCAGUUUCUGCCAGCCGGGCCUGAAGGUGCCACCUCUCCUACAUCAGUGUCUCUCCUUCUCAACAUCCCUACCAGGAGCAGACGGAUGGACUCCUGUGACCCUCAGGGGAGCAACACCUCACAAGAGGGCAUGGGCCUUUCACCAGAAGGACAGAGGGUCCUGCUGGGGUGUCCUCUCCAUGCACAUCUUGCGCUCAGGUGUGAUCUGUCACAUCCCCAAAAGGAAGGACAAGUCUGCAUUCACAGCUGUCUGAGAGCCAGAGGUAAAAGCCUGUCCUAGAAGAAAGUGUAAAUGAGAAGCAGCCUGGGGAAGGCCAACAAAAUGUAGCAGAACAAGAACGGGGAUGUCAGUGUUUACCUACACAUUGAAAUGUGUUAAUCUGCAUCACUGUAGCACUCAGGAAGUCAGUGCUAUUCAAUAACAGACACGUCUUAGUUUACUAACAGCUUUUGCUCUCCCUGCUUUUUCUUUUCCAGUUUGACCUCUGGUUUUCUCUGCCACUGCUCUCAAUUUUAUAUCUGUUUCUGAAAAUUCAGUCUUUGCAAUCUUUUCCCUUUUUCUUAGCUCCAGGCCUCUCAUUUUUUAUUUUUAUUUUUGGUGCAAUACUUGCUGGUUUCCUCCCAUUCAUGUCCCACUUUCUCUCCUGUUUCCUUUUCCACACAAACAAUUUCUCUAACUAGAGGGGCCCCUGCUUCUUGAAUACAGCCAUUUGUCAGGGGUAAAAGUAUUUUCUGCUUCUAAAAUUUGCUCUAGGAACAAGUAUCUGCUGUGGGGAAGCCUUAGCAUAUAGCAACAGCGUAAAGAUAAGCAUUAUAAAUACCCUGUAUAUAGAAAACUGUGCAUCAUUUCAGAAGGACACACUAUUUGUCUUAUUAGGCAAAGAACUUUUCGCACCUAAGCAGGUUUUGAAGUUUGCUGUAUUCCAAAUGGCACACUACAUGGCACAACAUUUAGUCUCAGAGCAAAAUAUAUUAGGGCAUAUCUCUGAACCCCUAUUCUUUUAAGUUCCAAGGUUUAAAGUUUUACGUUGAUAAAGGAGAAUAAAGGAAAGUUAAAACAUUCCUCGUGAAUAAAAUACCAUCUGACUAGCAAAA
Molecule: non-coding RNA, 4027 nt
Organism: Anas platyrhynchos (mallard)
Lineage: Eukaryota; Metazoa; Chordata; Aves; Anseriformes; Anatidae
Source: RefSeq, a predicted model, not a curated record